This 1258-nucleotide ribosomal RNA is filed under the name Salmonella enterica. RNAcentral describes it as "partial 23S ribosomal RNA". It matches the Rfam family "Bacterial large subunit ribosomal RNA", at positions 1 to 1190 of the family's 2925-position model. The record is from RNAcentral. Lineage: Bacteria; Pseudomonadati; Pseudomonadota; Gammaproteobacteria; Enterobacterales; Enterobacteriaceae. RNAcentral also lists the same sequence under 1 other name.
GGGUUGUGAGGUUAAGCGACCAAGCGUACACGGUGGAUGCCCUGGCAGUCAGAGGCGAUGAAGGACGUGCUAAUCUGCGAAAAGCGCCGGUAAGGUGAUAUGAACCGUUAUAACCGGCGAUGUCCGAAUGGGGAAACCCAGUGUGACUCGUCACACUAUCAUUAACUGAAUCCAUAGGUUAAUGAGGCGAACCGGGGGAACUGAAACAUCUAAGUACCCCGAGGAAAAGAAAUCAACCGAGAUUCCCCCAGUAGCGGCGAGCGAACGGGGAGGAGCCCAGAGCCUGAAUCAGCAUGUGUGUUAGUGGAAGCGUCUGGAAAGGCGCGCGAUACAGGGUGAGAGCCCCGUACACAAAAGCGCACGUGCUGUGAGCUCGAUGAGUAGGGCGGGACACGUGGUAUCCUGUCUGAAUAUGGGGGGACCAUCCUCCAAGGCUAAAUACUCCUGACUGACCGAUAGUGAACCAGUACCGUGAGGGAAAGGCGAAAAGAACCCCGGCGAGGGGAGUGAAACAGAACCUGAAACCGUGUACGUACAAGCAGUGGGAGCCCCACCACUAAGCCAGUGGUGAACUCCACAUACGCAUCCUUUGCUGAGGAUACGGUUAACGGAGCGAAAGCGACGUUUAACCGCAAAAGAAGCAGAGGGGGCUUAGUGGUGGGGUGACUGCGUACCUUUUGUAUAAUGGGUCAGCGACUUAUAUUCUGUAGCAAGGUUAACCGCAUAGGGGAGCCGGAGGGAAACCGAGUCUUAAUUGGGCGUUAAGUUGCAGGGUAUAGACCCGAAACCCGGUGAUCUAGCCAUGGGCAGGUUGAAGGUUGGGUAACACUAACUGGAGGACCGAACCGACUAAUGUUGAAAAAUUAGCGGAUGACCUGUGGCUGGGGGUGAAAGGCCAAUCAAACCGGGAGAUAGCUGGUUCUCCCCGAAAGCUAUUUAGGUAGCGCCUCGUGAAUUCAUCUCCGGGGGUAGAGCACUGUUUCGGCCAGGGGGCCAUCCCGGCUUACCAAUCCGAUGCAAACUGCGAAUACCGGAGAAUGUUAUCACGGGAGACACACGGCGGGUGCUAACGUCCGUCGUGAAGAGGGAAACAACCCAGACCGCCAGCUAAGGUCCCAAAGUCAUGGUUAAGUGGGAAACGAUGUGGGAAGGCCCAGACAGCCAGGAUGUUGGCUUAGAAGCAGCCAUCAUUUAAAGAAAGCGUAAUAGCUCACUGGUCGAGUCGGCCUGCGCGGAAGAUGUAACGGGGCUAAACCAU